AUUCCAGCUCCAAUAGCGUAUAUUAAAGUUGUUGCAGUUAAAAAGCUCGUAGUUGGAUUUUGGACAUCGUCUGUCGGUCCGCCUUAACGGUGAGCACUGACGGGUGGAGUCUUCCGGCUGAAGGCUAUCUGUGCUCUUCAUUGGGUGUAGGUAGAAUUCAGCCCAUUUACUUUGAAAAAAUUAGAGUGUUCAAAGCAGGCCUUUGGCUUGAAUACAUUAGCAUGGAAUAACAGAAUAGGACUUUGGUUCUAUUUUGUUGGUUUCUAGGACCGAAGUAAUGAUUAAUAGGGAUAGUUGGGGGCAUUAAUAUUUAAUUGUCGGAGGUGAAAUUCUUUGAUUUAUGAAAGAUUAACUUCUGCGAAAGCAUUUGCCAAGGAUGUUUUCAUUA
This 388-nucleotide ribosomal RNA is filed under the name Chytridiomycetes sp. RNAcentral describes it as "partial small subunit ribosomal RNA". It matches the Rfam family "Eukaryotic small subunit ribosomal RNA", at positions 582 to 975 of the family's 1831-position model. Lineage: Eukaryota; Fungi; Chytridiomycota; Chytridiomycetes. The record is from RNAcentral.